Molecule: non-coding RNA, 1978 nt
Organism: Danio rerio (zebrafish)
Lineage: Eukaryota; Metazoa; Chordata; Actinopteri; Cypriniformes; Danionidae
Source: RefSeq, a predicted model, not a curated record
UCGCUGGAGCUCAGCUCUGUUCAAAUGGCUCUGCAGCGAGCACCCUCUCAAAAUUUUGACCGUUUUCAGCAACCGCUUGAAAAGUCAUGUUCAACGAACUUUAAAACAAUGAGUUGCAUUCAAUCUUGGUAAUAUUGAAAUGUGGUUUCAAAAGUGUUAAUGCGGUAACACUUUAGGAUAAAUGUACGAUAUUACGAUAAAUACUGAUAUCACUGUUAUGAUAAAUGUUAAUUAAUGCAUUUACUAACAUAAACAAUGAACAAUACAUUUAUUACACUUUGUUUAUUACUUAUUGUAAAGUGUGACCGUUUAUAUAGCUAACAUUAGCUUUCUAUGUGAUAAAUUGCACUGAUGGAGGUUCUAAAACUAUUGGCAGGCGUACACAUUUUCUGCCAUGUUUGCACCACAGAAAAUCAGAAUGACUUUAGUUAUAGAAACCCCUUUUGGGUGGACUAAAUUAGCGCUGACUUAAAAGGGUCUAACCAGCACAACAGAAACUAGAGUAAUGAUGUGUGACACAAAUAUGAUAUUUUAAAUAGUUAUGAUAUUUUUAAGACAUUGAAAAUGUGUGUAGAUUGUGUACAAAAUGUUAGAUAUUUGAUUAUUUUAAAUAGUUAUGAUUUUGUACUAUUAAAAAUUUUAAGUAAUGUCACAUUACUGUAGUUGUAUUGUAAUUUUUCUCAUUUGUUUUAAUCGUGUACAUUUUUAUUUUUAUUUUUAUUUUAAUGGGUCAAAUCUGUGGCAAUGUUAGGACUGGGCUGAUAAACGAUAUUAUAUCGAAUUGUGAUAACAUUUAUGUCAGUAAUAAUGAUAAGCACUGCACUUUAUUACUCUAUAAUGAUGCAAAGAGCCAAUCAUACAGAAGAAAUGUAGAACAAUCGAAAAGUGUGUUGACAUUUUCGGCCACUGAAAAGUUAUUGGGCAAAAAUAUGUCAUGCCAUUAAAUGGACUCUUUGGAAGCAUUAACAACUUACAUAGAAAUAUAUAUCGUUAUCGUUCAAUAUGAAAAACAAUUAUCGAGAUUACACUUUAACCAUAUCGCCCAGCCCUAGGCAAUGUUAUUAUUAUUAUUUUAUUAAAUGGGAGGAACUGGUCACUUUAUGGUUACAGAAAGAGGCUUAAAUAAGUCCAACACCCACAAAAUACUCAAGCAUUUAUCCAAAUCAUCCAGUGCUACAAGGACAUAUCUCUCACACGCACAAAAAAAAAAAAAAACACAUAAAUAAUGUCAAAUUAAUCAUUUUCAUUUUAAAUACAGAUCCGUUUCUGAAAUUAUUGGUCAUUAAAACUUAACUAUAGUUAUAAAACAUUAUUGAAUAGUAUAGUUCAACUACUAAAGUCAUGCUGAAAAAAUUCUGCUUCUUAUAUGGCAUUAAUCGUAGCAGAGAAAAAUGGCAGUUCAGCUCUACAUGAAAUGGAAUUUCUGUAUCAAGGAGACAAUGUAAGAUGGUGGAGGAUUGUCAGCAUCUCUGUAAUCCUGCAAUCUGUGUGUCCUGUUUGCUGCGCCAGCCUGUUCUCUUUGCUCAUUAGCACUGGAGAAAGUCAUGAAUACUGCAGGGCGGCGUGGAGCUCAUUACAUCUCCUGCGUUCAGCAGCAGCGUGAAAAAUUCUUCACCCCUGACUGAUCAUUAAUUACAUGUCUUAGCUGGCAGCCGGAAAAGAGUGAGCAUGAGGAAAUGACAAAGAGAGAAAGAAAAGUCAGCUUAUUCAGGGAAAAAUGGCUGACGGAACAAUGCUUUCUGUUGCAGUUGAAGACAUGUGAGCAGAGCAUCCGUGGUGAAAGAUUGGGGCGGGAUUUAAAUGUUUGGCCAGCCAAUAGAAGUGAAGUGCAGAGUUCACCUUGAGCCGUCCGCAUGACUGAGCUCUACAACAGAUGUCAUUAAACAGCAGGUCAACAGGCGGUCUCUCACCUGGAGCUGUAUUUCUGCAGGAUGCUGUCCAGCGCGCCCACCAACUCCUCAGAGUUGACAGUCUUCUG